CAGUAGCCACGGUAAUACGAAGGGUGCAAGCGUUACUCGGAAUUACUGGGCGUAAAGCGUGCGUAGGUGGUGGUUUAAGUCCGUUGUGUAAGCCCUGGGCUCAACCUGGGAAUUGCAGUGGAUACUGGGUCACUAGAGUGUGGUAGAGGAUAGUGGAAUUUCCGGUGUAGCAGUGAAAUGCGUAGAGAUCGGAAGGAACAUCUGUGGCGAAGGCGACUAUCUGGGCCAACACUGACACUGAGGCACGAAAGCGUGGGGAGCAAACAGGAUUAGAUACCCCCGUAGUCCCUGUCUCUUAUAC
RNAcentral lists this ribosomal RNA (301 nucleotides) under uncultured bacterium. RNAcentral describes it as "partial 16S ribosomal RNA". It matches the Rfam family "Bacterial small subunit ribosomal RNA", at positions 509 to 807 of the family's 1533-position model. The record is from RNAcentral.